CACGCCGUAAACGUUGAGAACUAAGUGUUGGGGAGACCCAGUGCUGAAGCUAACGCAUUAAGUUCUCCGCCUGAGGAGUACGCACGCAAGUGUAAAACUUAAAGGAAUUGACGGGGGCCCGCACAAGCAGUGGAGCAUGUGGUUUAAUUCGAGGCUACGCGAAGAACCGGACCAGGGCUUGACAGGAAACUUAAGACCCUAGAGAUAGGGGGAGAAGAAGUGAAACAGGUGG
Molecule: ribosomal RNA, 232 nt
Filed under: uncultured bacterium
Lineage: Bacteria
Description: partial 16S ribosomal RNA
Rfam family: Bacterial small subunit ribosomal RNA
Source: RNAcentral